This 253-nucleotide ribosomal RNA is filed under the name uncultured bacterium. Its description in RNAcentral is "partial 16S ribosomal RNA". It matches the Rfam family "Bacterial small subunit ribosomal RNA", at positions 524 to 776 of the family's 1533-position model. The record is from RNAcentral.
UACGGGGGGAGCAAGCGUUGUUCGGAUUUACUGGGCGUAAAGGGCGCGUAGGCGGCGCAACAAGUCACUUGUGAAAUCUCCGGGCUUAACCCGGAGCGGCCAAGUGAUACUGUCGUGCUAGAGUGCGGAAGGGGCUACUGGAAUUCUCGGUGUAGCGGUGAAAUGCGUAGAUAUCGAGAGGAACACCUGCGGCGAAGGCGGCGCACUGGACCACAACUGACGCUGAGGCGCGAAAGCUAGGGGAGCAAACAGG